Molecule: long non-coding RNA, 6095 nt
Filed under: Medicago truncatula (barrel medic)
Lineage: Eukaryota; Viridiplantae; Streptophyta; Magnoliopsida; Fabales; Fabaceae
Description: long non-coding RNA (MTRU_LNC003938)
Source: RNAcentral
UCCAAGGAAAAUUAUUAAUAUACCGAUUUUAUGACAUACAAAUAGUUUAUAAUUUUAUAAGUAAAUUAAAAUAUAGCAAUACAUUAUUUAUCUCGUGAGAGAAAUUUAAUGCUUAAAGAAGCAUAAACCAAAAUGCGAGGGAAAUUAUUAAAGUAAAGUGGUUAUAGUUACACACAUUGACAUUUAUUGUUCCUGCACUUUGUAGUUUUAGCGCCACACAUUUUUCUUGGACAAUGGCCGGUAUGUUUGCAACCGUUUUUCACUGUCAAUUCAAAUAACAAUAAAGGAAUGUUGUUAAAGGAAUAUUGUGUCUAACAUACAGAAAAUGAGAAAAGAAUUUCAAGAGUUACUUACUUCCACUGGUUCCCAUGAGAAAUAGAGAAAGAAACAUUAUCAAAGCAUAAACAUAGUUGAAAAUUUUAGCCAUAUUUUUCUUAAUGUAUAUCCUUUUUUGUUUACACUUUGAAUGUAUAUCUAAAAUGUAAAGUUUUGUUUAACCAUUUUAUAAGUAAAAUUUAAUUCUUUGGUAACAUCAAUUAAAUAAUCUUCCUUCAAUUAAAAUCAAUUAAAUAGUUUGUUUAUCUUUUAUGAAUUGUAAGAAAGCAUUUACUAAAUUGAAGUUAUUGAUAAAUGUCUCUAAUGUAGAUCAGUGUGACAUUUGUCCUUUAGCCCACUAAAUUGAUCAGUUAAACAUAAUAAAGAUCUUAAAUCAACCUUUUGAUGCUCGUCAAAGAUUCUUUGUUUUUUUAAGGGACAAAAUCCCAAAAUUAAAGAGAAAUAAUAGUGAUGAAGGUAACUGUUUUUUAGCUUUGAUAAUUAUGCAUUUAAGAGGUGAGAAAACAUUUAUUUCUAGAUUAAAAUUACAAUAUGAUGAUUUCUUCGGUUUAGAAAAUGAUCAGAUCGUAAAUUAAUACAUAUCAAAUGUAAAAAUUACAUGAUUUGUUUUAUUGUUGAUGUCGACCCUCAGAUUCCUCAGAGAAAAAGGCUAAAGUCAUUGAGACUUUGGUCGGGAGUUAAAUAAAUUAUGUCUAAGAAUUGUUUCAAUCGGGAAUCGAACCUGAAUUGUCACGAACAAUUCAUCAUAGGGACGCUAUUUAACCAUUAGAGUCAAAUCACUUGGUUGACAAUUGCAUGAGUUAAUCAAAGUGUUAAAUAAGUUUUUGGUCUGUAAAAAUACAUUGUUUUAUGUUUUUAACUCCUUUAAACAAUGAUCCCUGCAAUGUUUUCUGCAAGCAAAUUUAGGUCUCGCUUUCCUUAAUGUCCCAAUUUUUGUAAUAAGAUUAGAAACUUUUUCAUUUCAAUUGAGAGAUGACAUUUAUAUCUUAUCUUGAAAAAUUCGAAUGAAAUAAAUUAAAAUUACUUGCAUUUGAAGAAACGCUUACAAAAUAUUUUGAUUAUGCUAAUGUGUACAAAUUACGAACAAUAAUUUUUUAGAGAUUUUAAUUUUAAUUAAAAUUACAAGUGUAGAUCCCAUAAAAUUUAUACGUAUAUAUAUUUUCACUUUCAUAUUGUAACAAACUAUACAUAUCUUUUUCAAUAUAUUUUGCACUUUCAUAUUUAACAAACGAUACAUAUCUUUUUCAAUGAUACCAACAAUAUAACAAAUAUAAUAUAAAUUCUUAUCUUUUUUAAUGACACCAACAAUAAAACAUUCUUAUAACCAAAUAUUUUAAACAUUUUUUUAUUUAUUAUGUUAAUUCAUAAUAAAUUCAAAGCUUCAUACAAUAUUUUGCCAAACAACUUUUAACUUAAAAAUAGCUUUAAAACUAAAAAAAAUUUAAAGUAACUAAACAACUUUAACUUCUUUCUUAAAACCCUUAAUUUUAACUUUAUUUUAAAGUAGCUUUUAAACUGUAAAAAAGUCAGACCAAACGAUUCUAAAGUAAAACAAUAUAGCGAGACAUAAAUUGAAACAUGAUAUAUAUACUUUUCAGUACAUAAAUGAGAGCCAAAAAUAUAAUUUAACCAAAAAAAAAAAUUUAACCAAAAUUUUGAUCACUAUAAAUCUACCAUCUUUCGUUUUUGAUUCCGUUAUAUACGCAACCUUUAAAAAUGAGGAUGAGUGCUUCCUUAAAAAAAAAAAAAAAAAAACAGAGAGAGAAUGGGUGCUCAAAAUAACCGCUGAACUCAAACUAAUCAAAAUUAUUUGAACCUAUAUUUCAAGUAUAGUAAUAGAAUGAACAAAAUAAUAAAUAAAAAGAAUUCCUUCAAAAAAAAUAAAAAGAAUAUUUCAGUGGAGUAAAAUAUAAAUUGAUAAAAAAAAUAAUAAAAAAAAAAGACUAUUUUUCGGAAGAAAAAUCAUAGGAAAGAGGUUUAUCUAAAAGAUCUUUUUCCUAUUUUUAUUAUUACCAUUCGUUGAGAAUGGUUUUUCUUUUAUUUAUACUUACUUGGUACAUAUUUUGGGGUGGGUUUGAUAAUCCCUUUGAUUAUUAUUAAAACUUUUCAAAAUUUCUUUUGAUUUUUUAUUUAAGAUUAUUUUAUUAAGUAGAUUAUCGUGAGCCGCACAUACUUUAUCGCAGGCUAAACUAAAAAAAGAAAUAAUAUUUUGAUAACCAAUCAAUGAUACUCUUCUAUAGAUUCACCUAUAUAAGCCGCAACUAAGGUAGCAAAAAUAAGAGCUUGAAUACCGCUUGUAAAUAAUCCCAUAAACAUAACCGGUAUAGGAACUAUUAAAAGUACUAACAAAACAAGAAGAAUAACUACUAAUUCAUCAACUAAUAUAUUUUUGAAAAGUCGAAAACUAAGUGAUAAGGAUUUUGUGAAAUCUUCUAAGAUGUUAAUCGUUAAAAGGAUUGGAGUUAGUUGGAUGUAUUUACCAAAAUAAGUCAAUCCUUUUAUUGAAAUACCAUGAUAGAAAUAGGCUAGUGACAUAAGUAAAGCUGAUGCCAAGAGUAGUAUUUAUAUCAUUUGUGGGUUCAGAUAAUUCUCCAUGAGAUAACUUUAUAAUUUUCCAAGACAAAAGAGCCCCUGACAAAUUCCAAAAAAAAAAAAAAAAAAAGGGUUCCAAUAAAUGGAACCCACUGACCAUAUUCUUCUCCAAUCUGAUUUUUAAAUAUGCACAAUUAUAAGUCUAAUUGAUAGUUAUUAUUCAACAUAAAAUUAUCUAUUAGAUGCAAAGUAUUUCAAAAUUGAUCAAAGCUUCUCAACAUGAUUUAAUGUGUUGGCAUUCUUCAAACAACGACUCUAUUAUCUCCUAUAUAAGUCCCGAGAAAUUUGAAGAACUUAAGAGACUUUACAUAAUUUUAUUAGGGCCAAAACUCUAUCAAAUUAUAUAGCACGCAAACACUUAAAAAAGUUCUUACAAACUUUCACAUCUUAGAUAUUCUUAAAUGUCAGAAUUCAUUUGAGCUUAGAGUUAGUUUACCACUCUCUGAGUACAAAGUGUAAACAAUCAAAAUUUAUUUGUAAACUCUAAUUUUGGAAGUCCUCUUGUGUGAGGCAAGGAAAUCUUAGACAUGUGUGUGUCGAAGUAAUUGUCAUAUUGUGUGAUUAUGGUGAAAAAUCCCUUGGAAUGCAAGGGGACCUGACAAACCUCAUAUUGUGCGGUGAACCGUGAUAAUUUCUUGUGUUAUCUCUCUCUCUCUGAUUAUCUUUCUUGCUCUGUUCUGUGUAAACUUAGAAAACAAUUUUCAGAAAAGCUAACACAAUUCAAUCAUCUCUUCUUGUAUUUUUCUCACCUUCAGUUGGUACCAGAGCGUCUGGUAUGUUGAUUUAACACUUAAUCAUGUAACAUAUAUUGCAACCAUGUUCUCAAUGUUUCAAACUCUUGUCUUUGAUAUGCAAGUUUUGAAUAAGAGUUGUACUACGAUAAAAUGACUGUCAUUCAAGAAGCAAUAGACUUGAACAAACUUGGUUGGAGACUCUGAUAAGCUCUCUGAAGAGUCGUGAGAUGCAGCUAUUAGGGGAUGAUUCAUCCAAACAAUAUAGUUAUAUUGCUCUCAAGUCAAAGGACAAAUAUAUCACAACAUUUCAAGUUGUAGAGUCUGAAUAAGACAAUCUAGGAGAAGAUUCCGUAGAUGGUUCUAAUGAAGAUGAAAUGACAUUCUUUAUCAAGAGACUCUAACAUCUGAACAAGAAAAACAAGUUUUCUGAUAGAAACAAUGAUGCCAGAGGAUUUAAUUCCAAAUAUAAAAAAUAUGAAUCGAAAGUCUGCUUCAACUGCAAGAAGUCUGAACACACUUAACAUAAAGGUGGUUUGUUUUUUAAGGGAAAAUUAUGUGGUGAUGUUGUUGUAUUUCGAUAUUGUACUUGUUGAUGAAAUUUAAAGUAUAUGUUUAUACAGCUUAAUCAUUUUUUUAGAAUAUUAAUAUCACACAGUUAGCCUUAAAUGCAAUUUUCAUGUGAGAAUAACAAUGUUAGCUAAAAUCCAUUUAUCGAUAACGUAGAUUUAGUUUUUUAAAAAAAAUAACGUAGAUUUAGCUAUAUCCACGUAGAUUUAGAAAUACAUACUAUUAUUAGUGCAACAGAAAAAAAUACAAUUAUUAGGAUAUAUUGGAAUUAUUAAUUAAAGUGGCUAAUUAUAUCGAUUUUUAAACUUAGAAUUAAGGUAAAAUACACUUAUGAUAUUUAAACAUAGAAUUAAGGCUAAAAUACACUUCUUCUCCCCCGCCCCCAAUUUUUCAAAACAAUCGAUUUUUGCCCUUUGUUUACACUUGUUUUUGAUAAACAACGAGUUUGGCUUUGAUUAUUACAAGCAGGACCAAAUCAGAGAUUCUAGGACAUAGUGUGUUGUUUCGUUGAGGGAAAAGGCACGAAAGGAAGCACUACCGUCGCGUGGAGACGUCUUUUCGACUGGAAAAAAACAUAAAGAAAAAGGAAAAAACUAAAGGCAAAAAGCACCUAAAAGAAACAUUUUUGUUGAUGUUGAGAGAUGGCUAGUUAUAAUUGUGUGGUGAAGUUGUUGUUUUUAAUACUAUACUAGUUAAAUAAAUUUAAAGGUAAGAGAAACAUUUUUUUAAAGGAAAAAGAAAGUGCAAAAGCAUUGAUUAAAUGACAAAAAUGAUAUUCCAAUUGUGUUGGCACCUCAUAACUGUCUCCUAUGGUUUACAACACUCUAAAAUUAUUAUUAAUAAACUAGGGUUAAGACAGGUACGUACUAACAUGUUCAUGUUUUUGUUUUCUAUUGCACUUAAAUUUUAUAAAUAUCAUAAUUAUAUAAAGAUUAGUUUAUAUUGUUUCUAGUAUGGUGAAAUUUUUCCUAUUAUAACCGGAUUUAAUUGAUUCUUUUAAUUAAAUAUUUAAAUAAUAAUAUACAAAAUAUAAUAUUGGAAAUAGAAAAAUUUAAAUAAAGGAUAUAAUUGCAAGAUAAAUAUUCAUCUCAAAAUCAUGUAUCCCUUGUGUGUAGAUGAUUAUAUGUUUUUAUUAUAAUGAGAUUUAUUUGAUUUUUUAAUUAAAUAUUUAAGUAAUAGUAUAAAGAAUAUAAAAUUGUUAUUAGAAUAGUUUAAAUGAAAGAUAAAAUUUUAAAAUAAAUAUCCAACGCAUGAUAAUACAUAUCUUUAUAGGUAUAGGUUCUAUAAAUGAAUAAUUACAAAAUUCAGGAGAUUAGACCAACACUCAAGAAAAAAGAACCAAAGACUUUCAACAUCUGCCUCAUUAAAAACCUUCUUAAAAUAGCCCUAUGACAUAAAAUGUCUUUGGUAAAAAAAUAAAAGUGUAGAGCAACUAACCAACACAAAGACAAGAUAAACAACAUAAAUCAAAGUCCAAGGAAAAUUAUUAAUAUACCGAUUUUAUGACAUACAAAUAGUUUAUAAUUUUAUAAGUAAAUUAAAAUAUAGCAAUACAUUAUUUAUCUCGUGAGAGAAAUUUAAUGCUUAAAGAAGCAUAAACCAAAGUGCGAGGGAAAUUAUUUUAUAGUUGCACACAUUGACAUUUAUUGUUCCUGCACUUUGUAGUUUUAGCGCCACACAUUUUUCUUGGACAAUGGCCGGUAUGUUUGCAACCGUAUUUCACUGUCAAUUCAAAUAACAAUAAAGGAAUGUUGUUAAAGGAAUAUUGUGUCUAACAUACAGAAAAUGAGAAAAGAAUUUCAAGAGUUACUUACUUCCACUGGUUCCCAUGAGAAAUAGAGAAAGAAACAUUAUCAAAGCAUAAAC